UUGCCAUCAUUCAGUUGGGCACUCUAGCGAGACUGCCGGUAAUAAACCGGAGGAAGGUGGGGAUGACGUCAAAUCAUCAUGCCCCUUAUGACCUGGGCUACACACGUGCUACAAUGGUUGGUACAACGAGUUGCGAGUCGGUGACGGCGAGCUAAUCUCUUAAAGCCAAUCUCAGUUCGGAUUGUAGGCUGCAACUCGCCUACAUGAAGUCGGAAUCGCUAGUAAUCGCGGAUCAGCACGCCCGCGGUCGAAUACGUUCCCGGGCCUU
Molecule: ribosomal RNA, 268 nt
Filed under: uncultured Streptococcus sp.
Lineage: Bacteria; Bacillati; Bacillota; Bacilli; Lactobacillales; Streptococcaceae
Description: partial 16S ribosomal RNA
Rfam family: Bacterial small subunit ribosomal RNA
Source: RNAcentral